GACGAACGCUGGCGGCGUGCUUAACACAUGCAAGUCGAACGGAAAGGCCCUGCUUGUGUGGGGUGCUCGAGUGGCGAACGGGUGAGUAACACGUGAGUAACCUGCCCUUGACUUUGGGAUAACUUCAGGAAACUGGGGCUAAUACCGGAUAGGAGCUCCUGCUGCAUGGUGGGGGUUGGAAAGUUUCGGCGGUUGGGGAUGGACUCGCGGCUUAUCAGCUUGUUGGUGGGGUAGUGGCUUACCAAGGCUUUGACGGGUAGCCGGCCUGAGAGGGUGACCGGCCACAUUGGGACUGAGAUACGGCCCAGAGUCCUACGGGAGGCAGCAGUGGGGAAUAUUGCACAAUGGGCGGAAGCCUGAUGCAGCAACGCCGCGUGCGGGAUGACGGCCUUCGGGUUGUAAACCGCUUUCGCCUGUGACGAAGCGUGAGUGACGGUAAUGGGUAAAGAAGCACCGGCUAACUACGUG
RNAcentral lists this ribosomal RNA (468 nucleotides) under uncultured bacterium. Its description in RNAcentral is "partial 16S ribosomal RNA". It matches the Rfam family "Bacterial small subunit ribosomal RNA", at positions 28 to 507 of the family's 1533-position model. The record is from RNAcentral.